RNAcentral lists this transfer RNA (68 nucleotides) under Prosthiostomum siphunculus. Its description in RNAcentral is "tRNA-Met". Lineage: Eukaryota; Metazoa; Platyhelminthes; Polycladida; Prosthiostomidae. The record is from RNAcentral.
UAGAGGAUAAGUUAUAUUCAAAUAAACUGUAGGGCUCAUGUCCCUAAAAAGAUUAAUAUCUUCUCUAU